This 2043-nucleotide ribosomal RNA is filed under the name Salmonella enterica subsp. enterica serovar Weltevreden. RNAcentral's name for it is "bacterial LSU rRNA". It matches the Rfam family "Bacterial large subunit ribosomal RNA", at positions 593 to 2236 of the family's 2925-position model. The record is from RNAcentral. Lineage: Bacteria; Pseudomonadati; Pseudomonadota; Gammaproteobacteria; Enterobacterales; Enterobacteriaceae.
GUGACUGCGUACCUUUUGUAUAAUGGGUCAGCGACUUAUAUUCUGUAGCAAGGUUAACCGAAUAGGGGAGCCGGAGGGAAACCGAGUCUUAACCGGGCGUUAAGUUGCAGGGUAUAGACCCGAAACCCGGUGAUCUAGCCAUGGGCAGGUUGAAGGUUGGGUAACACUAACUGGAGGACCGAACCGACUAAUGUUGAAAAAUUAGCGGAUGACCUGUGGCUGGGGGUGAAAGGCCAAUCAAACCGGGAGAUAGCUGGUUCUCCCCGAAAGCUAUUUAGGUAGCGCCUCGUGAAUUCAUCUCCGGGGGUAGAGCACUGUUUCGGCUAGGGGGCCAUCCCGGCUUACCAACCCGAUGCAAACUGCGAAUACCGGAGAAUGUUAUCACGGGAGACACACGGCGGGUGCUAACGUCCGUCGUGAAGAGGGAAACAACCCAGACCGCCAGCUAAGGUCCCAAAGUCAUGGUUAAGUGGGAAACGAUGUGGGAAGGCCCAGACAGCCAGGAUGUUGGCUUAGAAGCAGCCAUCAUUUAAAGAAAGCGUAAUAGCUCACUGGUCGAGUCGGCCUGCGCGGAAGAUGUAACGGGGCUAAACCAUGCACCGAAGCUGCGGCAGCGACGCUUAUGCGUUGUUGGGUAGGGGAGCGUUCUGUAAGCCUGUGAAGGUGGCCUGUGAGGGUUGCUGGAGGUAUCAGAAGUGCGAAUGCUGNACGUAUCACCCAAGACAACUUUACGGAGUUGACGAUUGACGGAGCGAAGCGACGUCAAAGCGUUCAUUAAAGUCGAGUUGGCUUAGGGAUACGUUCGUUGGGUAGGGGAGCGUUCUGUAAGCCUGCGAAGGUGGCCUGUGAGGGUUGCUGGAGGUAUCAGAAGUGCGAAUGCUGACAUNCGCUUAUGCGUUGUUGGGUAGGGGAGCGUUCUGUAAGCCUGUGAAGGUGGCCUGUGAGGGUUGCUGGAGGUAUCAGAAGUGCGAAUGCUGACAUAAGUAACGAUAAAGCGGGUGAAAAGCCCGCUCGCCGGAAGACCAAGGGUUCCUGUCCAACGUUAAUCGGGGCAGGGUGAGUCGACCCCUAAGGCGAGGCCGAAAGGCGUAGUCGAUGGGAAACGGGUUAAUAUUCCCGUACUUGGUGUUACUGCGAAGGGGGGACGGAGAAGGCUAUGUUGGCCGGGCGACGGUUGUCCCGGUUUAAGCGUGUAGGUGUGUGUUCCAGGUAAAUCCGGUUCACUUUAACACUGAGGCGUGAUGACGAGGCACUACGGUGCUGAAGCAACAAAUGCCCUGCUUCCAGGAAAAGCCUCUAAGCAUCAGGUAACAUCAAAUCGUACCCCAAACCGACACAGGUGGUCAGGUAGAGAAUACCAAGGCGCUUGAGAGAACUCGGGUGAAGGAACUAGGCAAAAUGGUGCCGUAACUUCGGGAGAAGGCACGCUGAUAUGUAGGUGAAGCGGUUUACCCGUGGAGCUGAAAUCAGUCGAAGAUACCAGCUGGCUGCAACUGUUUAUUAAAAACACAGCACUGUGCAAACACGAAAGUGGACGUAUACGGUGUGACGCCUGCCCGGUGCCGGAAGGUUAAUUGAUGGGGUCAGCGCAAGCGAAGCUCCUGAUCGAAGCCCCGGUAAACGGCGGCCGUAACUAUAACGGUCCUAAGGUAGCGAAAUNGACGCCUGCCCGGUGCCGGAAGGUUAAUUGAUGGGGUCAGCGCAAGCGAAGCUCCUGAUCGAAGCCCCGGUAAACGGCGGCCGUAACUAUAACGGUCCUAAGGUAGCGAAAUUCCUUGUCGGGUAAGUUCCGACCUGCACGAAUGGCGUAAUGAUGGCCAGGCUGUCUCCACCCGAGACUCAGUGAAAUUGAACUCGCUGUGAAGAUGCAGUGUACCCGCGGCAAGACGGAAAGACCCCGUGAACCUUUACUAUAGCUUGACACUGAACAUUGAGCCUUGAUGUGUAGGAUAGGUGGGAGGCUUUGAAGUGUGGACGCCAGUCUGCAUGGAGCCGACCUUGAAAUACCACCCUUUAAUGUUUGAUGUUCUAACGUGGACCCGU